AGAAGUCCAGGGCUAGGAGCCUCAGCCGGCGGACGCCAGGAAACAGUUACUGAUGCUACAAUAUUCCUUUAUGAAGCCAAGAACUGAACCAAAAUACAAACAACAUAAACUACCACUUGAUGAGAAGAACUUCAAAGUCAAAUUGCAAAAGGUGACUAAAAAAGGGGAGUACUUUCAGCCGUUUUCAAAAUAAUCUAUGAUAUGUACUGGAAAACUUCUAAUAAUCCUUGUCAUUUUACAACUUUCCCACAGUUAGAUCAUCAGCAAAUGUCACUUGGAUCCCUAGCUAAAUUGUUCUUCCCAGAAAAUAGUUAUCUCCACUAUGGAAAGUAUUUUAUCAGAAGAAUUCGUAGAAGUAGAAUCUGUUUGUCUUCAGUUAAACAAAAGAAGAACCUCAUUGCUUUCCAACUGGGCCCCGGCCAUUUUCCAGUUGAAACAUCAAAUAUUUUAUUUGUGUCUUUCACUGCCAAUUAAAGGGCAACAGAAAUGGUACAGAAAUAUCUGAAUGAAAUGCUCAUGAAAGGAUUAAGAAAGUCUGCAGUUGAGCCUGGAGCCAGCAAAAGACAUCAUCACUAAAAGUAUAUGCAUGACCCGCAUUUGUUGCCUUUAUGGUCCUUACCCAAGAUAUUUGAAUUCACCAGAAUGGUCUUAAUAUGGUAUUGUAAGUACCUGGAUCUGAAAACCAUUAAGUAUGAGAGUGCGCUGUAUUGGUGAUGCCAGUUUGUGGACUCCUUAUGUAAAUAAAUGAAGGACAAGUUAAAAACUGCAGUCACUCAUGUGAAAUAUAAAAGGCUGGCAGAAUACGGCUAAAUGUCGAGGUCUAGCCCAAUGUGUGAGAUUUAGAGAAAUCAUGUAUUCCAAUAAAAUCAGAUAUACUCCUGAAA
Molecule: long non-coding RNA, 884 nt
Filed under: Homo sapiens (human)
Lineage: Eukaryota; Metazoa; Chordata; Mammalia; Primates; Hominidae
Description: long intergenic non-protein coding RNA 879
Source: RNAcentral